Molecule: unclassified non-coding RNA, 318 nt
Filed under: uncultured Alfaria
Lineage: Eukaryota; Fungi; Ascomycota; Sordariomycetes; Hypocreales; Stachybotryaceae
Description: sequence contains ITS1
Rfam family: 5.8S ribosomal RNA (bases 1-105)
Source: RNAcentral
GAAAUGCGAUAAGUAAUGUGAAUUGCAGAAUUCAGUGAAUCAUCGAAUCUUUGAACGCACAUUGCGCCCGCGAGUAUUCUCGCGGGCAUGCCUGUCCGAGCGUCAUUUCAACCCUCAGGGCCCGCCUGCUUGCAGGCGCGGCGCUGGCGUUGGGGAUCGGCCCUAACCGGUCGUCCCCCAAAUACAGUGGCGGUCUCGCUGCAGCCUCCCCUGCGUAGUAGCAACACUCGCAUGCGGAGCGCGGCGCGGCCACGCCGUAAAACCCCCGACUUUCUGAACGUUGACCUCGGAUCAGGUAGGAAUACCCGCUGAACUUAA